RNAcentral lists this ribosomal RNA (112 nucleotides) under Labrus bergylta (ballan wrasse). Lineage: Eukaryota; Metazoa; Chordata; Actinopteri; Labriformes; Labridae. The record is from RNAcentral.
AAGAUAAAAAAUAAAAAAAAGCUGAUCUCGUGUGAUCUCAGAACUAAGCAGGGUCGGGCCUGGUUAGUACUUGGAUGGGAGACCGCCUGGGAAUACCAGGUGCUGUAACUUU